UACGUAGGGGGCAAGCGUUGUCCGGAUUUACUGGGCGUAAAGAGCGUGUAGGCGGCCAAACAGGUCCGUUGUGAAAACUGGAGGCUCAACCUCCAGACGUCGACGGAAACCGUAUGGCUAGAGUCCGGAAGAGGAGAGUGGAAUUCCUGGUGUAGCGGUGAAAUGCGCAGAUAUCAGGAAGAACACCAAUGGCGAAGGCAGCUCUCUGGGACGGUACUGACGCUGAGACGCGAAAGCGUGGGGAGCGAACAGG
Molecule: ribosomal RNA, 253 nt
Filed under: uncultured bacterium
Lineage: Bacteria
Also listed under: 1 other name
Description: partial 16S ribosomal RNA
Rfam family: Bacterial small subunit ribosomal RNA
Source: RNAcentral